CCUACGGGAGGCAGCAGUGAGGAAUAUUGGUCAAUGGACGAGAGUCUGAACCAGCCAAGUAGCGUGAAGGAUGACUGCCCUAUGGGUUGUAAACUUCUUUUAUAUGGGAAUAAAGUGUUCCACGUGUGGGAUUUUGUAUGUACCAUAUGAAUAAGGAUCGGCUAAAUCCGUGCCAGCAGCCGCGGUAAUACGGAGGAUCCGAGCGUUAUCCGGAUUUAUUGGGUUUAAAGGGAGCGUAGGUGGAUUGUUAAGUCAGUUGUGAAAGUUUGCGGCUCAACCGUAGAAUUGCAGUGGAAACUGGCAGUCUUGAGUACAGUAGAGGUGGGCGGAAUUCGUGGUGUAGCGGUGAAAUGCUUAGAUAUCACGAAGAACUCCGAUUGCGAAGGCAGCUUACUGGACUGCAACUGACACUGAGGCUCGAAAGUGUGGGUAUCAAACAGGAUUAGAUACCCUUGUAGUC
This 460-nucleotide ribosomal RNA is filed under the name uncultured bacterium. RNAcentral describes it as "partial 16S ribosomal RNA". It matches the Rfam family "Bacterial small subunit ribosomal RNA", at positions 338 to 795 of the family's 1533-position model. The record is from RNAcentral.